UCCUCUAAAAAUCAGAAGACUCACAGAGAGAAUCUCCGAGAUGCUCUGGAAGAACAAUGGCCAAGCAAAAUUCUCCCGGAGGACAGAGUCUGUGGCAGUCUUUCUGGGUGACCAGCCUUCAGUGGUCCAAGAACCUGCUGCUCCCGGGUCCUCUCAUUUGAAGACACCCACCGCCUAAGGAUGAAGAGAAGCUCCUUCUUGCAGAUCUGAGGCUGAUUUCCCAACUCCCAGGAACACCCUACCCACAGCCUGUUCCCCAGACCCAGGAACUUUUCAAAUGUAGAGGAGCCUUUAGAAGGAAGCCUUGAGCAUGAGGACAGACCCCCCUCAUCCAACCACCACCUGACUCUGUGUGAACCUGGAACUGUUAGAAUGUCUGUGCUGUGAUAAAAGGUCAUCUCCCUACAAUGUUAUGAUACAGACCUCAAACCUACAAACAUGAGGAACUUCUGCCUCCAGGUUAACUGCUUACCCACUGUACAAGACACGUUACACACAGUCCAGGAGGCGGAGCUUCUGAGAUAUCUAGAAACAGCUUAGAGGCAAAAUGACAAAAUAAAGCAGCAACAACAAAUAAAACCAAUCUUCUCG
This 591-nucleotide long non-coding RNA is filed under the name Homo sapiens (human). Its description in RNAcentral is "non-protein coding LINC01255:3". The record is from RNAcentral. Lineage: Eukaryota; Metazoa; Chordata; Mammalia; Primates; Hominidae.